Molecule: long non-coding RNA, 368 nt
Organism: Jaculus jaculus (lesser Egyptian jerboa)
Lineage: Eukaryota; Metazoa; Chordata; Mammalia; Rodentia; Dipodidae
Exons: 3
Source: RefSeq, a predicted model, not a curated record
CUCCAGCCGAGCGGCUGCGCUGCGCUGCGCUGCGCUUGCCGCGGGCCAGGCGCCUUGGGCGGAGAGCUGUGCAGCGGAGAGGCUGGUGGUCGCCAGAGAACUCAGGAUUCUGUAGUUCAGUCUGAGUGGGUGACAACCUAGUGCAGCUUAGGGUCAGCUGACCAUUGUGCUCCUAUGACCAAGAAGCCAUUGCACUGCUGGAUACAGUAGCUUGAUGGAUUUAUGAGAAACAAAAAGGAGCUGCGUGGCAGUCUUGCUCUUUGCCGGUAUGGCCUGAUAUAGCAUGGACCCAGUCUUGACAAUGAAUCGCCAGGCUACUUUUGGAAACCAGAAGCAACAAGGGAAAUAGAACUGAGCCUGCCUCCCAG